GCAAGAAAUACCAGCUCUAGGAGCAAAGGAAGAAUCACUGUCUCUCGAGCUCCUACCCAAGAAUACACCAUUGAAAUAUCAACCAUAGGGACCCUUUACCCCACAGGAGGGUUGAAUCAAGGCCAGUGGUAUGAAUAAGGUGGCAAUUCUGAAGGGAAGAUUUUUGUAAGGAUGGACCCACACCAGCAGAUCGCCAGCAUAUAUAAUAGGGAUACAUUACAGAUUCCCGAGUAUGAAAAAACUUCCCAGUGUACAAACCAGGUACAAAAGCAUGAGGACAGGCCCACAGAAGGAAGACGGCACACAUGUGAAUGUGGAAAGAAGUUUGCUCAGAGCUCAGGCCUUGUUCGACAUCGGAGAAUCCACACUGGAGAGAAACCCUAUGAGUGUGAUCACUGUGGAAAAGCCUUCAGUGUGCGCUCAACCCUCACAGUGCAUGAAAGAACCCACACCGGCGAGAAGCCCUAUACUUGUAAUGAGUGCAGGAAAGGCUUCAGUGUGAGGGCACACCUGAUCAUCCACCAGAGAAUCCACAAUGGGGAGAAACCCUAUGAGUGUAAUGAGUGUGGCAAAGCCUUUAGUGUGAGCUCAGACCUUAUCAAGCAUCAGAGAAUACACUCUGGUGAAAAGCCCUAUGAGUGUGUUGAGUGUGGGAAAGCCUUCAGCGUGAGCUCAGCCCUCAUCAAACAUCAGAGAAUCCAUACAGGAGAGAAGCCGUAUGAGUGUAAGGAGUGUGGGAAGGCCUUCUACGUGAACUCUGCCCUUAUCAAUCAUCAGAGGAUUCACUCUGGAGAAAAGCCCUAUGAGUGUGGAGAAUGCAGGAAAGCCUUCAGCCAAAUCUCCACCCUCAUCCAUCACCAGAGAAUCCACACUGGAGAGAAGCCGUAUGAGUGUGAGGAGUGUGGGAAAGCCUUCCGUGGGAGUUCUAAUCUUACUAAACACCAGAAAAUACAUACCAAAGGAAAGUGUCCGCAGAAGUGAGAAGUCAGUGGAAAUAACUCCAGAAUGGUAACUAAAGUUCUAAAAUCACAUCUGCUUCUGAGAUUGCCACUUUACAACUCAUAAGGUAAAGCCAUUUAAACAUAUACCAUAAUGUAGUUUACUUUGGCUUAGUAAGAGCAGACGUCAGUAAUUGAACCACUGUCUUUGUUUUUCUCGUGUACAAGCCUUUGUUAUUGUUGCUACUAGUAUCAUGGGUAAAACUGAUUAAGUUUUGAAAUUGGAAGUUGUGUUGAUUGGUGGGACAGGAACCACAUAUUCUCGUUGUAUCUGGAAAUACUAACCAAUUGAUUUUCCUUCCUUUGCCUUGGAUGUACCUCUGUUCUCUCAGGAGUAAUUAGAUAGGUGUGUUAGUAACUUCCUCCGCAGAAGAUAGACUGCCUCUUUUUAGGUAGGAAUCCAGUCGAUAAUUCUUCAGGGUCAUUCUUUCUUCACCAGCGAAGUCCCAGGCCUUUCGACUUACUGAUCCGAUAAGCCCCCUAAACUUGACUGAGCUUCCUGAACCAAAACAAACAAAACAAAAACAAAAAGCCUCUAGACGCAUCAGGUGCUCCAAACCCUUAUAUUUGGUGUUUCUCAGAGUGCGGUAUGGCAUCUGCAGAUUCAGGAGGUGUGAGGAUGGACAGACUCGGGAGCUGUUGUUGAGCUGAGUUGGCAUUGGUUGUAGGGUGACUUUCAAGGAUCUGUUUGAGUGACUCCUUGAAGUUUGAUGCCUGCUAACAACACGGAGUGUGGUGGACUCGAGAAGUGGUAGGAAGUGAUUUCUAACUCCUGGGUAACAGGCCUGAAAUUCUUUUGAUCCUUGAAGCUAAAUCACGUGCAGUUGAAGAUGAACACCAAAUUAAUAGAACUUGCAGAUUGCUUUGGUCCACAGUGUAGAUAGGCAGAAGGAAACAUUCUCUGGGAAGGUGAAAUGGUGUUCACUCCUCAGAGUAGGAUGACUGUGCUGUACAGGAAUGCGCAGUUUCCAGAAUUUCUCAUCCGCCCUUCCGGCCACUCAGCCCAUAGACACGCUGGGGUCCGUGAAGCUUUGUACCAGCUUGUGCUGCCAAGCACUGAAGUCUGAGAUGCAUAUGGAAAAGCAUGUCACGGAGUCUCCGAUACUGAGGAUGGAGCUUUGCAGGCAGACUCUUCUGGGAUCAGCACUGAAGAGAUGCCACAUCCCACCCCAAACCAGCACAGCUGAAUCCCAAGCACUAAUUGACGGUGACUCCUGGCCGUAAACAAGGUUCCAUUUCAAAGCAGAGUUUUGCAGAAGUUCAUCACCAAGUGAGGGAGGAGCCUCUUUGAAGAAUCACAGGUUAUAUUGCUUCAAGCCAAGCAGAGUAUCUCUCUGAGAAAGAGACCUAAGGCACUUGGGAGAACUUGCUCUGAAGUUUACUUCUGUCCCUGCUCUGGAAGUGGGAAAUUCUCCCUUCACCUUGCGUACAGUUUCAACUUGUAAUAAACUAAUAAAAGAAGCAGCUGUUUAGUAAAAUGAGUGAUCUCAAGUGUCUGUCUCUAAUAAUACAAACCCUGGAACACCAGCAGUCUGCAUGCAAGCACCAGCAUGUCCAGAUCUGAGGAGACCCUACGAGUCAUCACAGUCUGGAAGGACCUUCAGUGUAAAGCCAAGUCCCAUUUCACUACACAACAGAGAAGCCAUCCCAAAGAAGAGUCCCAGCGGAGUAAAGAGUGUGGCGAAGACCUCAGGUACCAGACUGGUCUUGUCAGAUACCAGAGAACUGUUGGGAAUACCUUCAGUUUGUAAACAUUCCUUGUGAGCUCAAGUCUCAUUAAAUAUAAGUUCACUUUGGACAGGAGCAAGUAGGGAGGUCUUCAUUUAGAAAGAGUGCUUGUUACCACAAAACCCAUAAAUAUAAAAAUGUGGGAAGGCCUUCACUAAAAUCAGUCUUCUGUAUUGGUAAAUCCACACCAGAGCAAAACCCUGAUGUGCGACUGCUCUGGGGACACUUUCAGCAUUAGCUCAAUUCUAAAAGUGUAUCAAAGAUGCCAUACAGAGAAAAGUUCUGUGAGUGUAAGUGAUCCAGAAAAGCCUUCAUAGUUCAGAUCUUACCAAACACUGGUCUGCAUUAGAGAGGAGCCUUAUGCGUGGGACGAGUGUGGGAAAACCUUUCAAUGAACUUGUCUCUUACCAGACAUCAGAGAAUACAAAACAAAUAUAAAU
This is an RNA transcript of Lontra canadensis (Northern American river otter), 3166 nucleotides long. It is a transcript of the gene named zinc finger protein 239-like, with no coding region annotated. The transcript has 5 exons. NCBI's taxonomy places the organism in Eukaryota, Metazoa, Chordata, Mammalia, Carnivora, Mustelidae. The record is from RefSeq and is a predicted model, not a curated record.